This 230-nucleotide ribosomal RNA is filed under the name Psathyrella merdicola. Its description in RNAcentral is "5.8S ribosomal RNA". The stretch from base 1 to 92 matches the Rfam family "5.8S ribosomal RNA", at positions 63 to 154 of the family's 154-position model. The record is from RNAcentral. Lineage: Eukaryota; Fungi; Basidiomycota; Agaricomycetes; Agaricales; Psathyrellaceae.
UAAUGUGAAUUGCAGAAUUCAGUGAAUCAUCGAAUCUUUGAACGCACCUUGCGCUCCUUGGUAUUCCGAGGAGCAUGCCUGUUUGAGUGUCAUUAAAUUCUCAACUUCAUCAGUUUUGUUAUGAGACUGGAUGAAGCUUGGAUGUGGGGGCUUGCAGAAUCCAUCCAUGGUGUCCUGCUCUCCUUAAAUGAAUUAGCGAGUUCAAACUGGGCUCUGUCUAUUGGUGUGAU